This 1281-nucleotide ribosomal RNA is filed under the name Clostridioides difficile. RNAcentral describes it as "bacterial LSU rRNA". It matches the Rfam family "Bacterial large subunit ribosomal RNA", at positions 1628 to 2925 of the family's 2925-position model. Lineage: Bacteria; Bacillati; Bacillota; Clostridia; Peptostreptococcales; Peptostreptococcaceae. The record is from RNAcentral.
UACGAGAUGCUCAGGAGUCUCGUGGGCUCGGAGAUGUGUAUAAGAGACAGAUCCUAAGGCCAGCGAGAGAACUGUUGUUAAGGAACUCGGCAAAAUGACCCCGUAACUUAGGGAUAAGGGGUGCCACCAUCAGGUGGCCGCAGAGAAUAGGCCCAAGCGACUGUUUACCAAAAACAUAGGUUUCUGCUAAGUCGCAAGACGAUGUAUAGGAGCUGACGCCUGCCCGGUGCUGGAAGGUUAAGGGGAUCUGUUAGAGCAAUCGAAGCAGUGAACUUAAGCCCCAGUAAACGGCGGCCGUAACUAUAACGGUCCUAAGGUAGCGAAAUUCCUUGUCGGGUAAGUUCCGACCCGCACGAAAGGCGUAACGAUUUGGGCACUGUCUCAACAACAGACUCGGUGAAAUUGUAAUUCCGGUGAAGAUGCCGGAUACCUGCGACAGGACGGAAAGACCCCAUGGAGCUUUACUGUAGCUUGACAUUGGGUCUUGGUACUACAUGUACAGGAUAGGUGGGAGGCUUUGAAACCAGGACGCCAGUUUUGGCGGAGCCAUCCUUGGGAUACCACCCUUGUAGUACUGGGACUCUAACCAUAGGCCAUGAAUCUGGUCUUGGGACACUGUCAGGUGGGCAGUUUGACUGGGGCGGUCGCCUCCCAAAAGGUAACGGAGGCGCUCAAAGGUUCUCUCAGUACGGUCGGAAAUCGUACGUAGAGUGUAAAGGCAAAAGAGAGCUUGAUUGCAAGACAUACAGGUCGAGCAAGGAUGAAAAUCGGACUUAGUGAUCCGGUGGUUCUGCGUGGAAGGGCCAUCGCUCAACGGAUAAAAGCUACCCUGGGGAUAACAGGCUUAUCUCCCCCAAGAGUCCACAUCGACGGGGAGGUUUGGCACCUCGAUGUCGGCUCAUCACAUCCUGGGGCUGUAGUAGGUCCCAAGGGUUGGGCUGUUCGCCCAUUAAAGUGGUACGCGAGCUGGGUUCAGAACGUCGUGAGACAGUUCGGUCCCUAUCCGUCGCAGGCGUAGGAAAUUUGAGAAGACCUGUCCUUAGUACGAGAGGACCGGGAUGGACGUACCUCUGGUGUACCAGUUGUCCUGCCAAGGGCAUGGCUGGGUAGCUAUGUACGGAAUGGAUAAGCGCUGAAAGCAUCUAAGCGCGAAGCCAACUUCAAGAUAAGAUUUCCCACCGCAAGGGUAAGACCCCAGAAAGACUAUCUGGUUGAUAGGUCGAAGGUGUAAGUGCAGCAAUGUAUUUAGCUUAUCGAUACUAAUAGGUCGAGGACUUGACC